RNAcentral lists this ribosomal RNA (1259 nucleotides) under uncultured Microgenomates group bacterium. Its description in RNAcentral is "partial 16S ribosomal RNA". It matches the Rfam family "Bacterial small subunit ribosomal RNA", at positions 8 to 1095 of the family's 1533-position model. The record is from RNAcentral.
AGAGUUUGAUCCUGGCUCAGGAUGAAUGCUGGCGGCGUGCCUGAGAUAUGCAAGUCGAACGCUUCUUCGUUUCUCACUUUGUUUCGAAACUACGACGCGCGAGGCGGGACUCAUAAAUAUAGAGUUCAGCUUUGCUCGCCGAAGCUCCGAAUUAGAGUGAGGAGCGGAGGAGAGUGGCGGACGGCUGAGUAAUAAGUAAGAAUUUUCCCCAAAGACUCACAUAGCUCACCGAAAGGUGGGGUAAUUUGAGAUAGUCCCCUCACCAACUGUGCUCUUCAUAAUUUGUUUUUAUCCCAUUGUUUUCGUUUGUAAACGAUACUUUGGAAUGAACAGAAAAUGGAUGGAGCGUACAGUUGGUGAGGGGUAAAGACGCAAGUCGCUUUGGGAUAAGCUUGCUUCCUAUCAGGUAGUUGGUGGGGUAAUAGCCUACCAAGCCUACGACGGGUAGUUGGUCUCAUGAGGAUGAUCAACCAGAGGGGGACUGAGACACGGCCCCCACUCCUACGGGAGGCAGCAAUCAGGAAUAGUCGGCAAUGGACGAAAGUCUGACCGCGCGACGCCGCGUGUGGGAUGAAGCUUCACAAGAGUGUAAACCACUGUGGUAGGGGAAGAGAAAGGACGGUACUCUACUAGAAAGUAGCCGCUAACUGCGUGCCAGAAGCGUCGGUAAUACGUGGGCUACAAGCAUUAUCCGGUGUCAUUGGGCGUAAAGGGUCGUGUAGGCGGAUUGAUAAGCCACUUUUCAAAUCUUCGGGCUUAACUCGAAAACUGGGAGUGAUACUGUUGGUCUAGAAGUUUCUUUAGGGAGAACGGAACUGUGGGAGGAGUAGUGAAAUGCGUUGAUACCCACGGGAACACCAGUGGCGAAGGCGGUUCUCUAGAAGAAUCUUGACGCUGAGACACGAAAGUUAGGGGAGCGAAGCAGAUUAGAGACCUGCGUAGUCCUAACUGUAAACGAAUGUAUGCUGGCUGCAUGGUUUUUCGAGCAAUCGAGAUUCCGUGUGGCGAAGGUAACCCGUUAAGCAUACCGCCUGGGGAGUACGGCCGCAAGGUUGAAACUCAAAGGAAUUGGCGGGGAGGCACACAACCAGAGGAACAUGUGGUUUAAUUCGAUACGAAACGAAGAACCUUACCAGGGCUUGACAUGCUACCGUUUUAGUCCGCUGGAAACAGUGGAUGAUCCGCAAGGAUGGUAGUGCCGGUGAUGCAUGGCUGUCGUCAGUUCGUUCCGUGAGGAGUGCCCUUAAGUGGGACAACGA